Long non-coding RNA from Epinephelus moara (kelp grouper), 2139 nucleotides. RefSeq lists it as uncharacterized. The record is from RefSeq and is a predicted model, not a curated record. NCBI's taxonomy places the organism in Eukaryota, Metazoa, Chordata, Actinopteri, Perciformes, Serranidae. The transcript has 4 exons.
ACCUGUGAGCAGAGUGAUUUUACUGUUACAUGUCCCAGUGAUGUUGUACUCUAUAUCAGCACUCAUGGAAUGCCUCUCGUCCAAUCAAAUUACUUGGUCGGAACUAACUGUUGUAUAACUAACAUUAACGUGGUGGAGCUUUAUUUUCUAGUCUCACACAGACACGCUUUGUAUAAAAUAUAACCACCCUAAAUUCUAACUAUUCUGUAUACCUUUUGCACCUUUUCGGUGCUUGCUGGUUAGCAACUAGAUAACGAGAUAAUUAGCUAAGCUAACAAGCCAGAAAAACUAGAUGUGCUAAUUAGCACUAAAAUGAUAACAGAAUUUCACUUACUGAAAAACUGGAGCACCAGUGUCUUGGACGCUCAGUUGAUACAAUUAUUUACACAGCAAGCCUUAUUAAUUGUCCGGUAUUUGUACAAAAAAAAAUGUCUGAAAGGCUCCAACAACUUAAAACACAGCAAGGAGGUCAAGUUGAGCGGCCUGAGGUGAGGCCAAGUUGACAACCUGUCAAUCAAACCGACCACGCCUUUAAUUAUGCAGAACUUUAAGAUUUAAGUGGGAUCACCCCCCCCCAUACAGUUAUCAUGAAUGAUGAAAAAAGCCAUAGAUUCCGUUUUUUUGCACCUGCCUGUAAAUAUGUUUAUUACAGCUGUAAAGUUGGGUAUUAUAAGAUGGGGGUCUAUGGGAAUUUGCUCUGUUCUGCAACCAGCCCCAAGUGGCCGGUUGAUGACUUGCAGUUUUUGGCACUUCUGCACUAGCUUCCCUCAUCAGCCCUGGAGAUUGCGCUGGGGUGAGGUUAUUGUAAACAGUGGAGUCGGAGCACACUCUCCUGGACAAACUAUGCAAUUACAUCAUUAUCAAGUCACCCUAAGCUUUGUUAUCAGCAUUAUAUAUUCUAUAGAAAAUGUUUUCAUAUGUGUGAUAGACAGGGGCGUCGCACCCGUGGGGGAUGGGGGUGUUUUGACACCCCCACUUUUACAGCCAGAUGAUUUCAGUUACGUCAGUCGGAGCUUUUGUCACUCACCGAUGGCUGACAUUGAAAAACAUUGACACACAACAGAGAGAAGAAGGAGGCAGAGAUGCCAAAAAGGAAGAGGCAGCAGCAGAAAAUUGACUUCUUUUUCAAGUCAAGUUGUCAUGUCAGUUUGUCCCAGUAAACAUCUGCUGCUGAUCUCUGUCAAAAGAAAUGGGAACUGUCCAACAAUGGCUCAACCUCUUCACCACCUCAGUGACCAAGUGCUCCCUUAUGUCUCCUUCUACCAGGUUGAACACUGUCACAUCGCAAUGCUUGAGCUGAGUGUGAAUAACAGGAAAUGCGGGGCUGUGAAAGGAAGAGACUCGAACACUGAAGUCCUGUUCCCUGGCUACCCCCCUUGAUCCCGCAUAUGAAUCCCAUGUAGGGUAUUGUCAGAAGAGGUAAAAUGCCAACUCUCUUUGUGUACAUGAAUUACUUUUUUUUGGCAGAAUGGUCAUUCAUUUAACUUGUUUUCUUCCAUUUAUUAUAGAUAGACUGCCACUGCUGUUUUGUUUGCAUUGUUUUGUUUAUUUUAUUUUGUUGAUUUGUUCAUUUAGUUUCUUUUUUAUUGUUGAUCCAGUAAUUCUAUUUUUUGAAUUAUUUCAGUAUUAUUUUGUCUUUUAUUAUAUUAGGUGCUUUCUGUUACUUUCUUUUGUCCGUUGUUGUGUUAGUCCUCCGGGGCCUUGAUUGAUUUCCCCCAAGAGACUUUUAAUAGAUUAUUGCAGCAGUACUAUGUGUUUUUAAUACAUUUCUUGUUUGUUUUUUUCUUUGCAUGAGUGCUGCAGGACUGGUGGAGGGAUUGGUGUUCAGAGUUUCUCACCCCAGCUUCACACCCCCUUAAAUGUGUGUGCGUGUAGUGGUAAUUUUGCACGUCCUUCACACUUUAUAGUUUUCCCUUGUAGUUUGGUUAUUUUGCUGUGUGUGUGUGCGCAUGUGUUGGGCACGGAGCGUGGUGAGUACUCUGCCCCCAUUUAACUUUCCCCUCCCCGACUACGGCUACGCCCAGCCGUCCUGUAGUGCUCCUGCCUGUAUUUUAAACCGUUUAGAUUAAUUAAAGUUUGGUUUAUUUUAAAUGUGUUGCUAAGUGCAAUAAAGAUUGUAAUCUUGGGGGAAGCCCUUUG